This 324-nucleotide ribosomal RNA is filed under the name uncultured eukaryote. Its description in RNAcentral is "partial 18S ribosomal RNA". It matches the Rfam family "Eukaryotic small subunit ribosomal RNA", at positions 1470 to 1796 of the family's 1831-position model. The record is from RNAcentral.
CCCUUAGAUGCUCUGGGCCGCACGCGCGCUACACUGGUCGAUGCAACGAGUUUCUUUCCUUGGCCGACAGGCCUGGGCAAUCUUUGAACAUCGAUCGUGAUCGGGAUAGAUUCUUGUAAUUUUUGAUCUUAAACGAGGAAUUCCUAGUAAACGCAAGUCAUCAGCUUGCAUUGAUUACGUCCCUGCUCUUUGUACACACCGCCCGUCGCACCUACCGAUUGAAUGGUCCGGUGAAAUCUCCGGACUGGCGUGAGUCGGAGCAAUCUGACAAACACCGGAAAGUUGAUUAAACCUUACCAUUUAGAGGAAGGUGAAGUCGUAACA